RNAcentral lists this ribosomal RNA (253 nucleotides) under uncultured bacterium. Its description in RNAcentral is "partial 16S ribosomal RNA". It matches the Rfam family "Bacterial small subunit ribosomal RNA", at positions 524 to 776 of the family's 1533-position model. The record is from RNAcentral.
UCCGUAGGGGGCAAGCGUUGUCCGGAUUUAUUGGGCGUAAAGAGCGUGUAGGCGGCCAUGCAGGUCCGCUGUGAAAACUGGAGGCUUAACCUCCAGACGUCGGUGGAAACCGCAUGGCUAGAGUCCGGAAGAGGAGAGUGGAAUUCCCGGUGUAGCGGUGAAAUGCGCAGAUAUCGGGAAGAACACCCGUGGCGAAGGCGGCUCUCUGGGACGGUACUGACGCUGAGACGCGAAAGCGUGGGGAGCGAACAGG